RNAcentral lists this ribosomal RNA (1372 nucleotides) under uncultured bacterium. Its description in RNAcentral is "bacterial SSU rRNA". It matches the Rfam family "Bacterial small subunit ribosomal RNA", at positions 28 to 1381 of the family's 1533-position model. The record is from RNAcentral.
GAUGAACGCUGGCGGCGUGCCUAAUACAUGCAAGUCGAGCGAACGGACGAGAAGCUUGCUUCUCUGAUGUUAGCGGCGGACGGGUGAGUAACACGUGGAUAACCUACCUAUAAGACUGGGAUAACUUCGGGAAACCGGAGCUAAUACCGGAUAAUAUUUUGAACCGCAUGGUUCAAAAGUGAAAGACGGUCUUGCUGUCACUUAUAGAUGGAUCCGCGCUGCAUUAGCUAGUUGGUAAGGUAACGGCUUACCAAGGCAACGAUGCAUAGCCGACCUGAGAGGGUGAUCGGCCACACUGGAACUGAGACACGGUCCAGACUCCUACGGGGGGCAGCAGUAGGGAAUCUUCCGCAAUGGGCGAAAGCCUGACGGAGCAACGCCGCGUGAGUGAUGAAGGUCUUCGGAUCGUAAAACUCUGUUAUUAGGGAAGAACAUAUGUGUAAGUAACUGUGCACAUCUUGACGGUACCUAAUCAGAAAGCCACGGCUAACUACGUGCCAGCAGCCGCGGUAAUACGUAGGUGGCAAGCGUUAUCCGGAAUUAUUGGGCGUAAAGCGCGCGUAGGCGGUUUUUUAAGUCUGAUGUGAAAGCCCACGGCUCAACCGUGGAGGGUCAUUGGAAACUGGAAAACUUGAGUGCAGAAGAGGAAAGUGGAAUUCCAUGUGUAGCGGUGAAAUGCGCAGAGAUAUGGAGGAACACCAGUGGCGAAGGCGACUUUCUGGUCUGUAACUGACGCUGAUGUGCGAAAGCGUGGGGAUCAAACAGGAUUAGAUACCCUGGUAGUCCACGCCGUAAACGAUGAGUGCUAAGUGUUAGGGGGUUUCCGCCCCUUAGUGCUGCAGCUAACGCAUUAAGCACUCCGCCUGGGGAGUACGACCGCAAGGUUGAAACUCAAAGGAAUUGACGGGGACCCGCACAAGCGGUGGGGCAUGUGGUUUAAUUCGAAGCAACGCGAAGAACCUUACCAAAUCUUGACAUCCUUUGACAACUCUAGAGAUAGAGCCUUCCCCUUCGGGGGACAAAGUGACAGGUGGUGCAUGGUUGUCGUCAGCUCGUGUCGUGAGAUGUUGGGUUAAGUCCCGCAACGAGCGCAACCCUUAAGCUUAGUUGCCAUCAUUAAGUUGGGCACUCUAAGUUGACUGCCGGUGACAAACCGGAGGAAGGUGGGGAUGACGUCAAAUCAUCAUGCCCCUUAUGAUUUGGGCUACACACGUGCUACAAUGGACAAUACAAAGGGCAGCGAAACCGCGAGGUCAAGCAAAUCCCAUAAAGUUGUUCUCAGUUCGGAUUGUAGUCUGCAACUCGACUACAUGAAGCUGGAAUCGCUAGUAAUCGUAGAUCAGCAUGCUACGGUGAAUACGUUCCCGGGUCU